RNAcentral lists this ribosomal RNA (253 nucleotides) under uncultured bacterium. Its description in RNAcentral is "partial 16S ribosomal RNA". It matches the Rfam family "Bacterial small subunit ribosomal RNA", at positions 524 to 776 of the family's 1533-position model. The record is from RNAcentral.
UACGUAGGCAGCAAGCGUUGUUCGGAAUUACUGGGCGUAAAGAGUGUGUAGGCGGUGCUCUAAGUUCGGUGUGAAAUCUCCUGGCUCAACUGGGAGGGUGCGCCGGAAACUGGAGUGCUUGAGCGUGGGAGAGGAAAGCGGAAUUCCUGGUGUAGCGGUGAAAUGCGUAGAUAUCAGGAGGAACACCUGUGGUGUAGACGGCUUUCUGGACCAUAGCUGACGCUGAGACACGAAAGCGUGGGUAGCAAACAGG